GAUGAACGCUGGCGGCGUGCUUAACACAUGCAAGUCGAACGGAAAGGCUCCUGCUUGCAGGGGUACUCGAGUGGCGAACGGGUGAGUAACACGUGGGUGAUCUGCCCUGCACUUCGGGAUAAGCCUGGGGAACUGGGUCUAAUACCGGAUAGGACGAUGGUUUGGAUGCCAUUGUGGAAAGUUUUUUCGGUGUGGGAUGAGCUCGCGGCCUAUCAGCUUGUUGGUGGGGUAAUGGCCUACCAAGGCGUCGACGGGUAGCCGGCCUGAGAGGGUGUACGGCCACAUUGGGACUGAGAUACGGCCCAGACUCCUACGGGAGGCAGCAGUGGGGAAUAUUGCACAAUGGGCGCAAGCCUGAUGCAGCGACGCCGCGUGGGGGAUGACGGCCUUCGGGUUGUAAACUCCUUUCGCUAGGGACGAAGCGCAAGUGACGGUACCUGGAGAAGAAGCACCGGCUAACUACGUG
Molecule: ribosomal RNA, 466 nt
Filed under: uncultured bacterium
Lineage: Bacteria
Description: partial 16S ribosomal RNA
Rfam family: Bacterial small subunit ribosomal RNA
Source: RNAcentral